GCGACUGGCCAUUCAUAUAAUAAAGCUCAAUAUUUGAAUUAUAGUAAAUAAGUAAAGCAAGAUACAUUUUUUAAAAAAUUUAAUUUAAUUUUUUAUUUCUUCGGGGUCAUAUUCUAAUCAUUUUUCUUUGUAUUACAGUUUUUUUGGUCUUAAUAAGGUCUUUUUGCCCACAUAGUUGAUGACUCUGAAACGAGGAGAGAAUUUAACCACUCAGUUUUCUGACAUGUCACUGGAUCCUACCCAGUAGUAUCGGAAGGAAGCUGAAAAUGGUGUUAGCUGCACUUAGGACAAACAAAAAUCAUUCCAGGUAAAAUAACCUUGUAAAGAAAAGUUAUAGUGUAUUAUAGAGGCCUUGGCUAGGUUCAUGAUGACAAAGGACCUUGUCUGAACAUAAUGAUUUCAAAACUUGAGCUUAAAUGACACUCUGAAAUCUAGUCAAUGUGCCUCAGUAGACUUUUCAUAGAACAUUAUUUUCAACAGCUAUUUUGACUUACUGUGGAACUUUGAAUACUUAGAAAUGUCAGGUGUAAAUUGGCAGUAUACAUUGCCAAUUCUUCAGACAUCUUUUUUUAAGUUUUCAUAAGAUAUUCUGAGCUCAUUAUUUUUCCCUUCUUUUUAAACAUGUAUGCUGUUGAAAGCAAAAAAGGAAACUCAGCCUUAAAUCCCAGAAGGUACACACACAUGCUGAGAUGGAAGCAAGGACAUGUAAAAGGGAGACGACCACCUCUUCGAUAAAACAUAGAAUGCCAGAAUUAGUGAUGUCCAGGAAAGAGGGGAACUCAUAUUUAUGGAACAUGUAUUAUAAAAUGCAGUGAGUAUGGGGUGAGAGGAUCUCUCCUGCUUAAUUGAGAUGAUGAAGGACCAAUAAGAGAGCAGUUUUUGAAAUCCAGUUCCAAGGAUAUAUUUGUUUUAGAUGUGAAUGUUGAUUAAUGACUUCAGGUGUUAAAUGCAGCAAGUCCAUCUAUGCCAAAAUGGCCAUUAUGAAUAGUUUGUGAGUGAUCAUGAAGAACGUGUGAUUUAGAGACUAGUACAGCAGAGUUUUACACACUGAAACAGUAUUGUGGGAUACACGAAAAGAAUAUGGGAGAAGAUGGGAUAUGAGAAGUACAUGAUGAAAAGAAGAGAUUUAUAGAUAACCUGAGGACAACUGACAUCAGGAAUAUUCCUCAUGCUAUGGACUUCUUUAAUGUAAAAGUGUUAACUGGGAAUAAUAGGAGGUGAUAGUUUCAUGAAAACACACUUCCGCCCUCCUGGUUUGUAAUUCCAAGAAUUGGUAUCAUCAGACCUCUCUCUGGCAGUAUUAUUCAUUCAACGUUUCUUCAUCUCUGAUCUCUGUUUCCACAAAUACCCCUUGGAGAAAUUACUGUGGUGACUAAACAGAAAAACUGAUGCUAUUGCUUCUGCCACCAUCUUCAAAUCCAAAAAACAGUCUUAAUAAUGUAUGGAGACUUCUGUUUCAUGUGUUAGAGUGGAUACUCCUCGCAGAUCAGAAAAAAUGGACUGAGAAAACUCAAGUUUGAAAAUUACUAGAGUGUCAUUGGAGGGAAUUGUAACCAGGCAUGUUGACUGUUUUCAUAAUGACAUUGGACUAAAUCUCAGGAGCUUGAAUGGUGGAGAUGUUAUUACCUAGAGAGGUUCAGUAUGAUCUUAAAUAGUACAAACAUUACAUUUCGGAAUUUUAAUCUUUGACAAUGUGGUGUUACAAAAAACUGCUUUUAUUCUCUUAAACUGUUCAGUUCAGUCAUCUUCAUAUAUCCUUAAAACUUACUAGUCACUUGUUUUUUCAUUUUCCUCUGUUGUUGUUUUUUUUUUUUUCAUUUCCCUCAGAAUAUUAGUGUUUUUGUAAUGGUUUCUAAGAUGAUUUAUGACUAAGUAUGUUAGUAUGUUAACCAUUUGUCAUGCAUUGCAAAUUUCAUACUGUAUGUUCUCAUCACCAUUUUACUGUGAUGUUUUGGUUGUACAAAAGUUGUUUUCAAAUAUAAUGCUCUGCUUUAUGCCUUUUGAGUUCUGUGUUUUUAUUCAGAUAUGUGUCCAUCACUCUCAUGCAUUCUUUGUAUUCUGUUUUUUGUCACUCUGUCAUUUCAUUUUUUCCGUUAAUUGUUACUGUGGUUUUAAACCAUUACCCAGUGAAAUUAUUUACCUUGAUUUAAGAAGUUAUCACUUAGCUAAAUGCUACCAUAGUUACUUAAAAAUUCCCACAUAGAAUCAUCUGCAUCUCUAUUUGUUUGCCUUACUGUCCUUUGAUACUUUAAAGUUACUGAUGAUUUUGUCUAUUCCAUUGAGAUCUAUCUCAUUUCUCUUUUUUUUCCAGAAUAUUCCCUUUCUAUAGUCGCAUUUUUUUCUCUCAAUUGAUGCUUAAAAUUAUUUUGCAAGUUGGAAAAAAAUGCAGUUUUAAUUUCAUUUGCACCAAAUUUAAUAGAUUAAUUAGGAGAGAAUAGAUGUCUUUCAAAGUGAGUCUUCCUAUCAAUCUGCAAGGGACACAGUGAGAGAGGAAACACCAACAGGAAGUGUGGGAGAGGGAGAAGCAGAGGGAGAAGUUCCCCACUGAGCAGGGAUCCUGAUUUGGGACUCAAUUCCAGGGCUCUAGGAUGAUGACCUGAGCUAAAGGCAGACACUUAACCACUGAGCUACCCAGGGGCCUGAACAUAAGAAUUUUUAAAUUUGGAUUCCUGUAUAGUUAAGGUACAGUGUUAAAUUAGUUUCAAGUAUCCAUAUAGUGAUUCAAGAAUUCCAAGUAUCCCCUAGCAUUCAUCACAAGUACACUCAAUUCCUAUCCCCCCCACAUCAUUUAUAAUAACCAUUGGGUUUUUUUUUUUUCUCUAGAGUUAAGAGUUUUGGUUUCUCUCUUUCUUCUGUUUGCUAGUUUGUUUCUUAAAUUCCACCUUCCACCUACGAGCGAAAGAAUAUGGUAUUUGUCUUUUUAUGACUGACUUAUUUCACUUAAUACAGUACUCUCAACCUCAAUCUGUGUGGUUGCAAAUGACAGUUUGAUUAUUUUUUUAUAACUUAGUAACAUUCUGUCAUAUAUAUGAUAUAAACACAAACUAGUUAAGUAUCCAUUCAUCAGUCAGUGGACACAUGGCUGCUUACAUAACCUGCCUGUUGUAAAUAAUGCUGCAAUAAACUUAGGGGUGGAUGUACUACUUUUAGUUAGUGAUUUUGUAAUAUUUAGGUAGAUUUACAGUAUGUGAUUCAUAGGUCAUAAGGUAGUUCUAUUUUUUUAAUUUAAAUUUUUUUUUUGUAUUUCAUAUAUGACAGAUAGCCUUCCAGAAAGGGAACAUAAGCAGGGGGAGUCAGAGAGGGAGAAGCAGACUUCCCACUGAGCAGGAAGCCCAAUUCAGUACCCUGGGAUCAUGACCUGAGCCAAAGGCAGAUGCUUAACAACUGAGCCUCCCAAGGACCCCUAUUUUUUAACUUCUUGAGGAAUCUUCAUACUGUUUUCCAGAGUGUCUGCACCACUUUGCAUUUCACCAAAAGGGCAAGAAUAUUCUGUUUUCCCCAUAUCUUCCCCAACCCUGCUGCUUCUUUUGUUGUUUAUUUUAGCCAUUGUGACCCCUUUGAAGUGAUGCAUUAUUGUAAUUUUGAUUUGCAUUAUCCUGAUGAUGAGUGAAAAGCAUCUUUUCAUGUGUUCUUUGGCCAUCUGUAUUCUUUUUUAGAGAAAUGUCUGUUCAUAUAUUUGCUAUUUAUUAUGAUUUUUGAGUGUUUAGUUAUAUGACUAUAUAUUUAGAGUAAUGAAUUCUUCAUCAGAUGUGUCAUUUGCAAAUAUCUUUUUCCAUUCGUUAUGUUGCUCAUUAGUUUGUUGAUUAUUUCCUUUACUGUAUGGAAGCUUUCUAUUUUUUUAUAUUUUAUUGUUUUUAGAGCAGGAGAGUUAGAGUGAGUGGAAGGGAAAUGGAGAGGGUGAGAGAGAGAAUCUUAAGCAGGGUCCAUGCUCAGCACAGAUCUGAUGUCCCUGAGACUAUGACUUAAGGCAAAAUUAGUAGUUGGAGGCUUAACCAAUUGAGCCCCAUAGGCACCUGAGAAGCUUUUUAUUUUAAUGUGUUGUUUUAUUUUAAUGUGUUUAUUUAAAUGUGUUUUAAUGUGUUUAUUUUAAUGUUAGUUUAUUCUUUCUUUUGUUUCCCUUGCCUCAGGAGACUUCCCUAGAAAAACAGUUGCUUCAGCUGAUAUCAGCAGAUUUAUUGCCUGUGUUCUCUAGAAUUUUUAUUGUUUGAGAUCUCACAUUAAGGGAUUUCAUCCAUUUUGAAUUUAUUUUUGUGUACAAUGUAAGAAAGUUGUCCAGUUUCAUUCUUUUGUGUGUUGCUGUCUACGGUUUCCCCCAUUAUAUUUAUUGAAGAGACUUUUUUUGCCAUUGGAUAUUAUUUCCUGCUUUGUUGAUUAAUUAAUCAUAUAGCUGUGGGUUUAUUUUCUUUUUAGUUCCACUUUUCUAUGUGUCCAUUUUUGUCUAACACCACAACCUUUUGAUUACUAGAGCUUUGCAGUGUAACCUGAGAUGUAGAAUUGUGAUGCCUCCAGCUUUGCUUUCUUUUUGCAAAGUUGCUUUGUCAAUUCAGGGUCUUUUGUGCUUUGAUACAAAUUAUACGAUGUUUAUUCUAGCUCUGUGAAAAAUACAGGUAGUAUUAUUUUUUUAAAGAUUUCUUAUUUAUUUGAUAGAAAGAGAGAGAGAGAUCAGAAGUACGCAGAGAGAGAAGGAGAAGCAGGCUCCCAAGCUGAGCAGAGAGCCUGAUGCGGGACUCAAUCCCAGGACCCUGAGAUCAUGACCUGAGCCAAAGGCAGAGGCUUACCCCAUCGAGCCACCAACAUGCUCUAAUAUGAGUGGUAUUUUGAUAGGGAUGGCAGUAAUUUUAACUGAGGUGUUACCAGCUUAAGAACUGAGACAUUUUAGAUGCUUCAAUAUCUGACAUUUCUAUAUCAAUCCAAAUUCUUGUACUUAUUUCUCAUUUCUGUGGACUUCGUUCUUCAAAAGUACUGCAUGUUUCAUAAGCAAGGAUCAAAGAAACUGUCUACAGGUGUUGAACAUAUGUACAAGAGGACCAUCAAUACCUUCUGCAGUGGUACCAUGCACAGCAUCACCUAUUUCCUGUCAUUAUGUCCACUUUUGGAAGCUCAUUGCAUCUUUAUAUCUCAAAAGGCACAAGUUUUAUAUAUGUACCACCAGGAAUAGAAGUGAUCUUCUUUUUGGCAAGAGGAAUUUGUGUGUAAUGGCUUGUGGGAAAUUUUCAACAAAAUGUUUAUUGAAAAUAUGUAGUGAAAAAAUGAGAUUGUGAUCUACAGGACAAAGAAGGGAAUGAGUUAAUUAAAGGAUUUGGUGAAGCUCAUCUCUAAACUAUGGUCUGAAAUGCAGGUGAUAGGUAGAACUUUUUUUAGGCAUGGUUAAUGAAAUGCAUUCACAUCACAGAGAAGAGUAUAUUACUGUUUUGUUGUUGAAAGUUUUUAUUUAUUUGACAGAGAGAUAAUGAGCAGGGGGAGUGGCAGGCAGAGGGAGAAGGAUAAGCAGGCUUCCUGCAGAGUAGGGGGAACCUGAUGCUGGCUCCAUCCCUGGACCUGAGGAUCAUGACCUGAGCUGAAUGCAGACACUUCACCAGUUGCACCACCCAGGUGCCUGAGAAGAGCAUGGUUUUUAGCAAUAAGUUCCAUCAAGGAAAUGUGAUGGUAGUAUCAUUAUUGGCAGGGUGUUCAACAGUGUUUUUUGUUUUUGUUUUUGUUUUUAAUUUGAACUGACUGUGAGGCAGGGCAGUGGAGUUGGUUCAGAUGCAUCUGAUAUUCUGUGUAGAUGUAAAUCAAUAGUUUUUCUCCUUUGUUGUCAUUU
Molecule: long non-coding RNA, 5803 nt
Organism: Mustela lutreola (European mink)
Lineage: Eukaryota; Metazoa; Chordata; Mammalia; Carnivora; Mustelidae
Exons: 11
Source: RefSeq, a predicted model, not a curated record